GGUUACCGUGGCAACGCUCUGCACAGCAGUCACACCGCGAGACUUACAGUGGAGGAGAAGGGAGCUGACAGGAGCUGCAGGAAGGUAAGUAACAGCUAUCUGCCAGCCCCCAACAGGACCGCCGGGCUUGUAAUGAGCCCGGCGGUUCUGGUCUGUAUUAUGGCAAUGUAAGUUGCCAUAAUACAGACACUGACUCGAGUAUAAGUCGAGUGGGGUUUUUUCAGCACAAAUAAUGUGCUGAAAAACUAUACUUAUACUUGAGUAUAUAUGGUACCUCUUUCCAUUUUUAAUGCUAUUGUGUCCCCAUUUCAUAGGAAACACUUACUUCGUUACAUAAAUACAUUUGAAUUACUCAAGAAGAUAUAUAUAAUUUUACCCUAUUAUAUCCCUGGAGAUACAAGAUUCAGAAGGUAGUUGUGUAGUCUUGGGCACCACCUGAAUUUUUUGAAUCCUUGGAAGUGCUGGUGGAGGAGACCUAAUGCGGAUGCGCGGCAGUGGGAGCUCGCGCAUUAGACCUCCCCAUAGGAAAGCAUUAUUGAAUGCUUUCCUGUGGGGAAAAUCUGACUCUGAAGGGUCCAUGAGGACGUCCAACAUCAGAUAACGGAUCAAAAGUCAGUUUAGAUUCUGGAAGACCUCUAAUGGCUUCUCUGGAACUGUAGUGUUUUUUUACAUUGCAGCACUAAUUGCAAAAGGGUCACAUGACCCAGACUACUUCAAUGAGCUGAAGUGGUCUGGGUGCCUACAGUGUCCCUUUCAGACUUAGAGGUUUUGCUCAGGAUCUUCCUUAGGAGACGAGAGCAGUACUACAAAGUGAAUCUGAUUUUUUUUUUUAAAAAGGAGAACAGCAUAGCCCUGUUUGCUCCCUCUGGAGUAAACCGUUCCUCUUCAGAAUUUCUAAACAUUAAGGAUAUUCAUUAUCAGUGUUUGCAUCAUCACUUGUGCUCUGACAAAACGCUUUUUCCUUUAGUUUUUCAUUGUUACACCUGUACUGUAUAUGCGUAUCCCUGGGCAAAUCCAGCUAGCCUAUCGCAUAUCUCUCUCUGUCCAAAACAGUCUGUGAGCUUGCAUUUGUAAAGUAUUUAUUGAGCAGAAUUGCAUUGUUUUUUUUUCUUAUCUCUAAUUGUGUGCACAGUAUUUAUAUGCUAAACAUAAAAGAUGUAUUUUUUUCUUACUGUUUAAAAUAAAUUAAACUGAACUUUUUCAAAAAAAUAAAUCUAUUUAUUUAUAUAUAUAUAUGUGUGUGUGUGUGUGUGCAGAAUUAUUGUGUUUGUUUCUGUUUGUUCACUUAUUUUUCAUUUUCUGAGCAGUGAGUUUCCUGCCAUAUAAAGAGGACUAUGUAAUAUAAGGAGGAUUAAGUAUAUCGGUUUGUGUUAAUAGAUUUGUAUAUGCCAAUGAUGCCCUGUUUAUAUAAGACUGUUCGGAUUGUUUUGUAAAUACCUGCUUCUUAUAUAAAGUGCACUCUAUAGAUACACAAAGAUACCUUAAGUGUUGCAUUUAAAGUGAACCAUUCUAGG
Pelobates cultripes (western spadefoot toad) is the source of this 1514-nucleotide non-coding RNA. The record is from the annotation of a GenBank genome assembly. NCBI's taxonomy places the organism in Eukaryota, Metazoa, Chordata, Amphibia, Anura, Pelobatidae.